Molecule: ribosomal RNA, 497 nt
Filed under: uncultured bacterium
Lineage: Bacteria
Description: partial 16S ribosomal RNA
Rfam family: Bacterial small subunit ribosomal RNA
Source: RNAcentral
GAUGAACGCUGGCGGCGUGCCUAAUACAUGCAAGUCGAGCGAACGGACGAGAAGCUUGCUUCUCUGAUGUUAGCGGCGGACGGGUGAGUAACACGUGGAUAACCUACCUAUAAGACUGGGAUAACUUCGGGAAACCGGAGCUAAUACCGGAUGAUAUUUUGAACCGCAUGGUUCAAAAGUGAAAGGCGGUCUUGCUGUCACUUAUAGAUGGAUCCGCGCUGCAUUAGCUAGUUGGUAAGGUAACGGCUUACCAAGGCAACGAUGCAUAGCCGACCUGAGAGGGUGAUCGGCCACACUGGAACUGAGACACGGUCCAGACUCCUACGGGAGGCAGCAGUAGGGAAUCUUCCGCAAUGGGCGAAAGCCUGACGGAGCAACGCCGCGUGAGUGAUGAAGGUCUUCGGAUCGUAAAACUCUGUUAUUAGGGAAGAACAUAUGUGUAAGUAACUGUGCACAUCUUGACGGUACCUAAUCAGAAAGCCACGGUUAACUACGUG